Molecule: long non-coding RNA, 673 nt
Organism: Cherax quadricarinatus
Lineage: Eukaryota; Metazoa; Arthropoda; Malacostraca; Decapoda; Parastacidae
Source: RefSeq, a predicted model, not a curated record
UUAAUGAAAAGCGUGUACCACUGUUAAUGAAAAGCGUGUACCACUGUUAAUGAAAAACGUGUACCACUGUUAAUGAAAAACGUGUACCACUGUUAAUGAAAAACGUGUACCACUGUUAAUGAAAAACGUGUACCACUGCUAAUGAACACGUACCACUGCUAAUGAACACGUACCACUGCUAAUGAACAUGUACCACUGUUAAUGGACACGUACCACUGUUAAUGAACAUGUACCACUUAGUGAAGAAAAUGCACCUCGUCUUAGUGAAGAACAUUUAUCACUUGUUCAUGAACAUAUCGGACGAGGACAACGCACCACGACAACGUAGCUUGCAGGAGUGAGUGACCAGUAUCUAACAGCGAUGCAAGGCCAAGCCAAGCCAAGCCUGCGACAUGCAAACCACAAUAUAGGUGAUACUUGCGCUGGCAAUGGUCGUGCCAAGUUGCCAGAUGCUGAUGACGUAGUCGUCGUACGUAGCCUAAAUUCUGGCACGUGUUGUCCUCAGUGGUGGCAGAACUGAACUCUCACUUCACACAUGUCCUCAGUGGUGGCAGAACUGAACUCUCACUUCACACAUGUCCUCAGUGGUGGCAGAACUGAACUCUCACUUCACACAUGUCCUCAGUGGUGGCAGAACUGAACUCACUUCACACAUGUUGUCCUCAGCAUCAUG